CCUACGGGAGACAGCAGUGGGGAAUAUUGCGCAAUGGGCGCAAGCCUGACGCAGCGACGCCGCGUGAGGGAUGAAGGUCUUCGGAUCGUAAACCUCUGUCAGCAGGGAAGAACGGUCACUGUGCUAAUCAGCAGUGAAUUGACGGUAACUGCAAAGGAAGCACCGGCUAACUCCGUACCAGCAGCCGCGGUAAUACGGAGGGUGCGAGCGUUAAUCGGAAUGACUGGGCGUAAAGCGCUCGUAGGCGGUAUGUCAAGUCAAGGGUGAAAUCCCGGCGCUCAACGUGGGAACUGCCUUUGAAACUGGCAAACUGGAGUGUGUGAGAGGAUAGUGGAAUUCCAGGUGUAGGGGUGAAAUCCGUAGAUAUCUGGAGGAACAUCAGUGGCGAAGGCGACUAUCUGGCACAUAACUGACGCUGAGGAGCGAAAGCGUGGGUAGCAAACAGGAUUAGAUACCCCUGUAGUC
Molecule: ribosomal RNA, 465 nt
Filed under: uncultured bacterium
Lineage: Bacteria
Description: partial 16S ribosomal RNA
Rfam family: Bacterial small subunit ribosomal RNA
Source: RNAcentral